AUUGAACGCUGGCGGCAUGCCUUACACAUGCAAGUCGAACGGCAGCACGGGUGCUUGCACCUGGUGGCGAGUGGCGAACGGGUGAGUAAUACAUCGGAACAUGUCCUGUAGUGGGGGAUAGCCCGGCGAAAGCCGGAUUAAUACCGCAUACGAUCUACGGAUGAAAGCGGGGGACCUUCGGGCCUCGCGCUAUCGGGUUGGCCGAUGGCUGAUUAGCUAGUUGGUGGGGUAAAGGCCUACCAAGGCGACGAUCAGUAGCUGGUCUGAGAGGACGACCAGCCACACUGGGACUGAGACACGGCCCAGACUCCUACGGGAGGCAGCAGUGGGGAAUUUUGGACAAUGGGCGAAAGCCUGAUCCAGCAAUGCCGCGUGUGUGAAGAAGGCCUUCGGGUUGUAAAGCACUUUUGUCAGGAAAGAAAUCCUUGGCCCUAAUACGGUCGGGGGAUGACGGUACCGGAAGAAUAAGCACCGGCUAACUACGUG
This 486-nucleotide ribosomal RNA is filed under the name uncultured bacterium. RNAcentral's name for it is "partial 16S ribosomal RNA". It matches the Rfam family "Bacterial small subunit ribosomal RNA", at positions 30 to 507 of the family's 1533-position model. The record is from RNAcentral.